RNAcentral lists this long non-coding RNA (339 nucleotides) under Mytilus galloprovincialis (Mediterranean mussel). Lineage: Eukaryota; Metazoa; Mollusca; Bivalvia; Mytilida; Mytilidae. The record is from RNAcentral.
UUGAUUUUCAUUUCAGGUAUAAAGGGUGAAAAACUGAAAAGUAUCAAUUCUUCAUCUUAUGUUUUACUGCCUAAUAUUACCAAAACUGUAUGAAUUCAACUCUAGUAAAUUAUAUAUAAUGAGUAAAAUUUGAUGUACCCUAAAUACUUUUUACAUGGAAGGUAAAUUAUAAAUUAUCCCAAGACUUUAUGUAAAUUUGUAAUUUGAAUUAGUCUAUGAUCAAUUAUGAACAUUCACAGACAAGUCAAGGUAAACAUAUAAAAAAAAGAAGAUGUGGCAUGAUUGCCAAUGAGACAACUAUCCACAAGAGACCAAAAUGACACAGACAUUAACAACUAU